This is a long non-coding RNA of Bos taurus (domestic cattle), 1127 nucleotides long. The record is from Ensembl. NCBI's taxonomy places the organism in Eukaryota, Metazoa, Chordata, Mammalia, Artiodactyla, Bovidae.
AGAGUCCAGAGGCAGAGGCUGUUUGUAGAAUGCCCUAUGGUUACAGCCAUUACUGAGCCAGGGAAGUACUACAAAGCCAUCCAACAGCAGAAAAGUAAUGGGGCCUUCCUCCCUGUCUCACCAGCUUGCAUCUCUUUGAUUCCAUCUGAAUGUUCACUUCCAAUUGAAGCUCCCAACUGGCAGGAACUCUUGGCUUAGCCAGAGAGCUUCCUUCGGACUUGUGUUCCCGGCACCCAGUGCUCAUUGAAGCAGCCCUCAGCCUCCUCAUGAGGACUAGGGACAGUGGGGACUGCACCAUGAACUCCGGAUCAUGCCUGAGUGCCAGCACGGUGGCCUUUCCCACCAUCACUGGCAGCAGCAUGGCCAUGAGUGCCUACAGCAGCAGCAACGCCAGUGCCUUUGUGAGGACGCCUGUGGGGCCAAGUGGGGUGGAUGGGCAGCAGGGCAGCAAGGGUCGGAAUCUGGGAGUACCCCUCUCUCCUGUCCCAACCCCAUUACUAGAAGCUACAUACACGGAGUCCCAGGCCAGCUGGAGCGGUGGCAGCUGUGAGCAUGACGGUGGAGAGAAGAAUGUUGGGGAGAUGGGAGUUUGCGGCUGAUAAGAGUAGCCUGUAGUUCUCUCUUCCUUCAAAAAGCUCUUCUGAUCUUGAUGCCUACCUAGGGCCUUGCAUUUGUCCAGUGGGUGGAUGUUGUUUGCAUUUUUGCAGCUCUCAGGGUUCUUUCUGUGUGACAGCACCGGGUCAGGGUGGCCAGUGCUCAUCUAGGGAGGUAACAUAGGGGUCUGACUGCGUUUUGUGCAGCACGUGUCUGUCAUGUGGGAGUUCUUGGGUUGCCUUAAAUGUGAUGGUGGUUGCAUUCGCCUCCCUGUGGACCAUGGUCAUCUCUCCCCUGCAUCUGUGCCGUUCCAGGCCAGUUUGCACACAGAUUCAUUCACUGCCCUUCCCCACUCUGCUCUGAGCUGGCUGAGACUAAAAGGUGGGAGGAGGGGAGAAGCCCAGGUACGUCUCUUCUUCCCUCCCUGCUUUUGACAGUGUCUCGGUCGGCAUCUCGCUGUGACUCCCAUCGGCACCAGACAGUGCUCUGGGUUCUGAGACCCCCACCUCUUCCCCUAACUUGUGUACAGCGGC